RNAcentral lists this ribosomal RNA (518 nucleotides) under Cytospora beilinensis. RNAcentral's name for it is "Cytospora sp. XF-2019b partial large subunit ribosomal RNA". It matches the Rfam family "Eukaryotic large subunit ribosomal RNA", at positions 89 to 630 of the family's 3401-position model. The record is from RNAcentral. Lineage: Eukaryota; Fungi; Ascomycota; Sordariomycetes; Diaporthales; Cytosporaceae.
GCGAGUGAAGCGGCAACAGCUCAAAUUUGAAAGCUGGCUCCGGCCCGCAUUGUAAUUUGCAGAGGAUGCUUCUGGCAAGGUGCCUUCCGAGUUCCCUGGAACGGGACGCCACAGAGGGUGAGAGCCCCGUAUGGAUGGACACCAAGCCUGUGUGAAGCUCCUUCAACGAGUCGAGUAGUUUGGGAAUGCUGCUCUAAAUGGGAGGUAAAUCUCUUCUAAAGCUAAAUACCGGCCAGAGACCGAUAGCGCACAAGUAGAGUGAUCGAAAGAUGAAAAGCACCUUGAAAAGGGGGUUAAACAGUACGUGAAAUUGUUGAAAGGGAAGCGCUUGUGACCAGACUUGCGCCGGGCGGCUCAUCAGGGGUUCUCCCCUGUGCACUCCGCCCGGCUCAGGCCAGCAUCGGUUCUCGUGGGAGGAUAAGAACGGUGGGAACGUGGCCCCCUUCCGGGGGGGUGUUAUAGCCCAUCGUACGAUACUCUCGUGGGGACCGAGGUUCGCGCUCCGCAAGGAUGCUGGC